RNAcentral lists this ribosomal RNA (442 nucleotides) under uncultured bacterium. RNAcentral describes it as "bacterial SSU rRNA". It matches the Rfam family "Bacterial small subunit ribosomal RNA", at positions 958 to 1397 of the family's 1533-position model. The record is from RNAcentral.
AACGCGAAGAACCUUACCUGGGCUUGAACCGCACAGGACCAUCUUUGGAAACAGAGACUUCCCGCAAGGGACCUGUGUAGAGGUGCUGCAUGGCUGUCGUCAGCUCGUGCCGUGAGGUGUUGGGUUAAGUCCCGCAACGAGCGCAACCCUUAUCCCUAGUUGCCAUCGGGUCAAGCCGGGCACUCUAGUGAAACCGCCCAGGAUAACUGGGAGGAAGGUGGGGAUGACGUCAAGUCCUCAUGGCCUUUAUGUCCAGGGCUACACACGUGCUACAAUGGUCGGUACAAACCGUCGCAAACUCGCGAGAGGGAGCUAAUCGGAAAAAGCCGGCCUCAGUUCGGAUUGGAGUCUGCAACCCGACUCCAUGAAGCUGGAAUCGCUAGUAAUCGCGGAUCAGAACGCCGCGGUGAAUACGUUCCCGGGCCUUGUACACACCGGCUAC